AGUCGCACCGAAGAACUCGGACCUAGAGUCAGAUAUUUGUUUUUUUUUUCUCUUGUUUACAUGAAAUUACUCUCUUGAUUACUUGAAUUUACAAGUACUCGCAGUUUGAACAGAGGAAUAUAUAUUAUCAUAAUUUGUGCAAAAAAAAAUAAGUUCAAGGAUUUGAAAACUGAACAGAUUGGGCUUUAAAUUGGUAUUUUUUAUUGAUUUUGAAGGAAAAUAGGCAGAUGGUCAAACACUAGACUUGAAUUUUGGCUGCCUUAUAAAAUAUUUGAGUAUAAUCAUCAUAUCUGAGGUCCUGAAUUGUACAAAUACUUAUUCUGUUGGAUUUCUUACAUUUGUAGUACCCAAAAACCUGAAAUGAGAGCGCUUAAGGACAAUGAGAUGUUUGAUGCAUAGAUGGAAAUUGGCUGCCUUUGUAUAUAUAAGUCUACAUCUUCCCAGAUUUGACCAAAGCGAUGCUGUGAAUGGUAAAUAAUGCUUUGUAGAUGUUUUAAAUAAAAAUUAGAUGUUUGGCUUCAGGACUUUAAGUCUCACACAAGUUGCUGGUUCAGUCGCAUGAAUGGUCAGUGGAAUUCACAAGAGUCACUGAAAAAAUUAGGAGAACCAGUUGAAGUUGCUCAGAGUUUCUAAAUGCAAAACCAGAACUUGUGGUGACCUCAAGGACAAAUGAUGAUUUGAAUAGAGCUAUAGAAUGGUUACUUUUUCGUUUGGAUUUGAAGGUAAUUAUGAAUCUGAAUUAGUAUUCUAAUAUUGUUAUUUUGUCCCCACCCCCCCUCGGUGGGUGAGACAUAUUGUUUUUUAGCUCACCUGUCACAUAAGUGACAAGGUGAGCUUUUGUGAUCACCCUUCGUCCGUCGUCAGUCCGUCCGUCCGUCAACAACUUCUGGUCUGCACAAUAGUGGUUUCAUUUAUGAUUUUUUUUUAACCAAACUUGCACACAACUUGUAUCACCAUAAGAUCUUGGUUCCUUUCUUGAAUUGGUCAGAUCCCAGUAUGGGUUCUAGAGUUAUGGCCCCUGAAAGGGCCAAAAUUAGCUAUUUUGACCUUGUCUGCACAAUAGCAGCUUUAUUUAUGUUGUGAUUAUUACCAAACUUGCACACAACUUGUAUCCCUAUAAGAUCUUGAUAUAAGAUUUUCUUAAACUGGCCAGAUUCCUUUAUGGGUUCCAGAGUUAUGGACCCUGAAAGGCCCAAAAUUAGCUAUUUUGACCUUGUCUGUACAAUAGCAGCUUUAUUUAUGAUUUGAAUUUAAU
This is an RNA transcript of Mercenaria mercenaria, 1255 nucleotides long. RefSeq lists it as uncharacterized. The transcript has 3 exons. NCBI's taxonomy places the organism in Eukaryota, Metazoa, Mollusca, Bivalvia, Venerida, Veneridae. The record is from RefSeq and is a predicted model, not a curated record.